RNAcentral lists this transfer RNA (86 nucleotides) under Acidobacteriota bacterium. Its description in RNAcentral is "tRNA-Leu". It matches the Rfam family "tRNA". From Rfam's summary of the family: Transfer RNA (tRNA) molecules are approximately 80 nucleotides in length. Their secondary structure includes four short double-helical elements and three loops (D, anti-codon, and T loops). The record is from RNAcentral. Lineage: Bacteria; Pseudomonadati; Acidobacteriota.
GCCGGAGUGGCGGAAUGGCAGACGCAGGGGACUCAAAAUCCCCCGCCCCUUGGGGCGUGUGGGUUCGACUCCCACCUCCGGCACCA